GAUCAUGGCUCAGGAUGAACGCUAGCGACAGGCUUAACACAUGCAGGUCGAGGGGCAGCAUGAGGUAGCAAUACCUUGAUGGCGACCGGCGCACGGGUGAGUAACGCGUAUGCAACCUGCCCGAUACCGGGGUAUAGCCCAUGGAAACGUGGAUUAACACCCCAUAGUACUUUUAUCCUGCAUGGGAUGUGAGUUAAAUGUUCAAGGUAUCGGGUGGGCAUGCGUCCUAUUAG
Molecule: ribosomal RNA, 233 nt
Filed under: uncultured bacterium
Lineage: Bacteria
Description: partial 16S ribosomal RNA
Rfam family: Bacterial small subunit ribosomal RNA
Source: RNAcentral